RNAcentral lists this ribosomal RNA (267 nucleotides) under uncultured Marivita sp. Its description in RNAcentral is "partial 16S ribosomal RNA". It matches the Rfam family "Bacterial small subunit ribosomal RNA", at positions 424 to 709 of the family's 1533-position model. Lineage: Bacteria; Pseudomonadati; Pseudomonadota; Alphaproteobacteria; Rhodobacterales; Roseobacteraceae. The record is from RNAcentral.
CGUAAAGCUCUUUCGCCUGUGAAGAUAAUGACUGUAGCAGGUAAAGAAACCCCGGCUAACUCCGUGCCAGCAGCCGCGGUAAUACGGAGGGGGUUAGCGUUGUUCGGAAUUACUGGGCGUAAAGCGCGCGUAGGCGGACAUUUAAGUCAGAGGUGAAAUCCCAGGGCUCAACCCUGGAACUGCCUUUGAUACUGGGUGUCUUGAGUUCCAGAGAGGUGAGUGGAAUUCCGAGUGUCAAGGUGAACUUCCUAAUAUUCGCACGAACCC